Molecule: long non-coding RNA, 1233 nt
Organism: Oryctolagus cuniculus (rabbit)
Lineage: Eukaryota; Metazoa; Chordata; Mammalia; Lagomorpha; Leporidae
Source: Ensembl
ACAGCAUGGCCAAAUGCACAGUUGGAGAGCAACGUGAAAAGGUGUCUUGUGAAUAGGAAAGUAACGUCCUGCCUAAUUUUGGAUGGCCUUGAGUGCUAGAAUUUCAGCUUUGCUUUUGAAGUUAUGGAAGUCACUUUAAUGCCAAGAUUUUUCUGAUAAGGCUUUAGCACUGAAUAGAUCUCAGAACCUUUCAGAUUCUUCACUUAAUUCAGCUAUUUGCAAAAGGCCACAUCACAUUGCAUUGUAGAUUCCUGCUCUCUGAUCAAACUCCUUUUCUGAACUGGAAGCAAUGUGAAAGUAAGUAGCAGGGUAGACUUGGCAUUCUUUAUACCUCAGGUGGAGUAUAGCACAUGGAAAAAAAUUGAUGAUAUAUGGGUUGCUUGAAAGAAUGAGUGAACAAAGAAAAGAAACAGUGAAUUAGAAAUGCAAUUUCAAUUUCCUGUGCUUAGAUAUGUGGAUAAAAGCACAGGUUUGUUGGAAGGCAGAGCCGUCUAGUUGUCUAUCUAUGUCCUUUUGCUCAGUCCUGGCUCCUUAGAAACAUUGUGUAUCUUUAUGAAGCCUACAAACCAGUUCUGGCAUGACUCAUAUAUGUAAAGAACAGAUUUUCAUUUUGUUUUAGCUCAUGCUAUUUUGCAGUGUUCAAUUUUAGACAACUGAAACUGAAACUUCAUCUGAACAUACAUUAUUGGUAUGAAACUUUAUUGAAAUAAUCGGUAUCAAAAUUAUUAAUAUAAUGCUACUAAACACUAUAAUGUGUCUGUGUCCACGAGUGUAUACACACACACACACACACACACACAUGCACAAAACAGAGACAGAGAAAAAGUAAUUGUUUUUCCAUUUGUGCUUCUCAGGAGUAAAUAAUCAACCCAUUUAAUGAAGGAGGAAAUUCAGUCUUACCUAACAAAACAUGUACCACACUGAUUGCAAAAUUUAUCUUUGAGAAAAUACAAAUUAUUGCAUACCCCAACUUUACUAAGAUGUUGCUAGAAGCCAGUUUGUCCCAUCUAAACAGAUUGCUAUACGUGUCUCAGUGUCACAAAAUCCUUUGACCUUACUGAAGACCAACAAGCAACACCUGAGUAGUGACCAGAGUGAGCAGAUAUAUUGAUUUUGCAUUCCAUGACUGAUGGACAUGUCCCACUUAACACCAACGAAGAUAUCACUGUAAACAGAGUGUACGUUACUUUUGCUCCUCUCAGAUACAGUUAACUGAAGAUCCUGAAUUCCUAA